RNAcentral lists this transfer RNA (71 nucleotides) under Marmota monax (woodchuck). RNAcentral's name for it is "tRNA.Ala". It matches the Rfam family "tRNA". Rfam says of the family: Transfer RNA (tRNA) molecules are approximately 80 nucleotides in length. Their secondary structure includes four short double-helical elements and three loops (D, anti-codon, and T loops). The record is from RNAcentral. Lineage: Eukaryota; Metazoa; Chordata; Mammalia; Rodentia; Sciuridae.
GGGGUUGUGGCUCAGUGGUAGAGCACUCACCUAGCAUGAGUGAGGCACUGGGUUCCAUCCUCAGCACCACG